UACGGAGGGUGCAAGCGUUAUCCGGAUUCACUGGGUUUAAAGGGUGCGUAGGCGGGCAGGUAAGUCAGUGGUGAAAUCUCCGGGCUUAACCCGGAAACUGCCGUUGAUACUAUCUGUCUUGAAUAUCGUGGAGGUAAGCGGAAUAUGUCAUGUAGCGGUGAAAUGCUUAGAUAUGACAUAGAACACCCAUUGCGAAGGCAGCUUACUACACGAUCAUUGACGCUGAGGCACGAAAGCGUGGGGAGCAAACAGG
Molecule: ribosomal RNA, 253 nt
Filed under: uncultured bacterium
Lineage: Bacteria
Also listed under: 3 other names
Description: partial 16S ribosomal RNA
Rfam family: Bacterial small subunit ribosomal RNA
Source: RNAcentral